GGUCAGUAUGAGUUGGCAUGUAUUACACUAAUUUACUUCUGAAGUAGAUAAAAUCUCUAGAAUUAGGCUGAAAUCUU
Small nucleolar RNA from Perognathus longimembris pacificus (Pacific pocket mouse), 77 nucleotides. RefSeq annotates it as small nucleolar RNA SNORD45. The transcript has a single exon. The record is from RefSeq and is a predicted model, not a curated record. Lineage: Eukaryota; Metazoa; Chordata; Mammalia; Rodentia; Heteromyidae.